Molecule: non-coding RNA, 543 nt
Organism: Microcebus murinus (gray mouse lemur)
Lineage: Eukaryota; Metazoa; Chordata; Mammalia; Primates; Cheirogaleidae
Source: the annotation of a RefSeq genome assembly
AGCUCUGGGAGAGGAGCCCCAGCCCUGACAUUCAAAGGUGUCCCCAUUCUGUGAUCAGGACUGAACACAGAGACUCACCAUGGAGUCUUGGCUGAGCUGGGUUUUCCUUGUUGCUCUGUUACAAGGUGUCCAGUGUGAGGUGCAGCUGGUGGAGUCUGGGGGAGGCUUGGUCCAGCCUGGGGGGUCCCUGAGGCUCUCCUGUGCAGCCUCCGGAUUCACCUUCAGCAGCUAUGCCAUGAGCUGGGUCCGCCAGGCUCCAGGGAAGGGGCUGGAGUGGGUUGCUUUUAUUAGAACCAAGGCUUAUGGUGGCACAGCAGAAUAUGCCGCAUCUGUGAAAGGCAGAUUCACCAUCUCACGAGAUGAUUCCAAAAGCACCGCAUAUCUGCAAAUGAACAGUCUGCGAGCUGAGGACACAGCCUUGUACUACUGUGCGAGAGACACAGUGAGAGGACUUCAGUGUGAGCCCAGACAUAAACCUCCUGUGGGGCCCAUGUGGGUCACCAGGGGGCGACCAGGACCCACUUAGCACAGAGCCGCCCAGUG